Molecule: long non-coding RNA, 4665 nt
Filed under: Canis lupus familiaris (dog)
Lineage: Eukaryota; Metazoa; Chordata; Mammalia; Carnivora; Canidae
Description: lncRNA (ENSCAFG00845001475.1)
Source: RNAcentral
UAUAUUCAAAUCAUACUAUUUAUUUAUGUCAUUCAUGCAGGCCAUUGAAGUGACUGAAUCUAGCCAAAUGCUAAAAGUUUUAGAAAGAUUUUCACAUUCUAAAUGCUAUCCAGAGUAGAUCUACAGAAUGAGAAGUCAUGUAGCAAUGCAUGAUGGAAGAAAGUUUUGAAGAUAUAUGUGAACACAUUCAAAGGCUUUAGCAAAGACUUGCUGUUGAUAAAACAGUAAGUAACAAGAUAUUAGUGCUUGGGAAACAGCCAGAAUUGGACAUUAGUGAUGAGGAUAUUCUUGAGCUUGUUGCAUUGACGCUGAAAGCAUUCUAUUAAGGAGCUAAUCAAACUAGAAGAGCAAAAAAAUAAAGAAGCUGACAGAGAAGAAGUUGCACAUGAAGUACCAAGAAAGGUCACAGCAAACAAACUAACAGAGGAAUCUGCUACUAUCAGCAGUGGCAUUUAGAUGUUAGAAGAAACACACGUCAGUCACAAGACAUUCACAAGAGCUGAUGGGCAGAUACAGGAUGCUUGCUACAGAAAAAUAUAUAAUAAGAAAAAACAAAAUAUAUAGAAAGAAAAAACAAACUGCACAAAACUUGGUACCUUCCUAAAGAACACUACAUGGCUAAACCAUCAACAAGUGUUGAUGCCCUAGGGCCUUCUACCAGCUAUUCCUGAUCCUCAUCAUAAUAAACUGAUGAUCCUAUCAUUGUAGCAUCACCAUUAUCCAGCAAUUAAUUUUAGUUCACCAUUUCAAACAUUCUUUAGGCUUGGCUGUGUAUGUUAAUGAUAAGUACCCACACAAUCAUAGUUUUUCACUUUCAGAAUAGUAUUCAAUAAAUUACAUGAGAUAUUCAACACUUUAUUAUAAAAUAGGUUUUGUGUCAGAUGACUCUGCCCAACUGUAAACUAAUGUAAGUGUUCUGAGUAUGCUUAACAUAGGCUAGGCUAAACCAUGAUGUUCAGUAGGUUAGGUGUACUAAAUGCAUUUUUGACCACGAUAUGUUCAAUUUACAAUGGGUUAGUUUAUCGACACAUAACUCCAUCAUAAGUCAAGGAAGAGCUGUAUGAGUUUGCAAAAAAAGAAAAUGUUAACAGAAAAAAAAAAAUCUUGAAAUUUCAAAGAACAGAAUGGAAAAAGUAAACACUACACUUCUCACAGGUUUUGUAAAAAUUGCUUGAUAGUUAAAACAAAAAUGUCAACCAAUAUGAUGCUCAGUGUAUAAAGAAGAAAUACUUAACACAAUUAUUAAAGAGUGGGGAAUGUGAAAGGAUCCAAUGAAAGGAAAGCUUCUACAUAUCAAAGUGCUGAUAGCAUAGGCUGUGAUAAAUUAUAGAUGUAUAAAGCAAUACCUAAAAUAAUCAGUAAAAUACAAAGAGAUAUACUCAAAAAAUCACAGAUAUAUCAAAUGGAAUUCUGAAAAUUAAAGUAACCCACAGGAAGGCAAAAUAAAAAUAACAAACAAAACCCCCCAAAACAAUAGAGGAAAAAUAAACAGGGAACAAAGAAAAAACAAAUCAUAAACAGGCAAACCUAACACAUCAAUAAUUAUUUUAAACUCAAAUGAUCUAAACAUAACAAUUUUAAAAGAAAUCAGCAAAAUGGGGAUGCCUGGGUGUCUCAGCAGUUGGGCACCUGCCUUUGGCCCAGGGUGUCAUCCUGGAGUCCUGGGAUUGAGUCCCACAUUGGGCUCCCUGCAUGAAGCCUGCUUUUCUCUCUCUCUCUCUCUGUCUCCCAUGAAUGAAUGAAUAAAAUCUUAAAAAAAAAAAAAAGAAAAGAAAAGAAAAGAAAAAAGAAAUCAGCCAAAUGGCUAAAAACAAAGCACGACCAAAAAUAUAAACCAAGAAAUGCAAAAUAUUAACCAAAAACUGCAACAGUGGCUAUAUUAAUAACAGAUAAACUAUAUUCCAAAAAAAAUUUAGAGACAAAAAGGUACAUAGCAUAAUGAUAAAAAGGUCAACACACCAAGAUGAACGAGCAAUCCUCAAUGUGUACACACCUACAACAGAGCUUCGAAAUACUCAAAGCAAAAACUGAUAGAACUUAAAAGAAGAAACAGACAAUUCCAGAUUAUACUGCAGUCUUCAAAGUCCCUCUCUCAGCAAUUGAAAUACUAAACAGAAAAUCAGCAAGGAUGCAGAAAAUCUGAAUAACAUCAUCAAUCAACAGGAUCAUGUGGACAUUUACACAAACUCCAUCCAACAGCAGAAUACACAUUCUUCUCAAGAAACCAAACAUUCAUCAAGAUAGACCAUUUUGGGUCAUAAAGCAAACCUCAACAAAUUUAGACAACCAGAUCAAAUACAAAACAAACUAGAAGUCAUUAACAAGAACAUGAAACACUCCAAACACUAGGAAAUUAAGCAAUAUACUUCUAAAUGACUUAUGGGUUAGAGAGGAAGUCUUGAAUAAAUAAAUUUUUAGAACCAAAUGAAAUGUAAUUAAAAUGUAUUACAACUUGUGAGGAAAGUGCUGUGACGAAAAUUUAUAGAAUAUAAAGCUUACAUUAGAAAAGUAAAAAAAUCUCAAAUUCUAAGCAUCCGUCCCAAGAAACUACAGAGGAAAAUACCACAAAAGCAGGUGGAAGAACAAAUAUAAUAAAGGUCAAUACAGGUAUCAGUGAAAUUAGGAAAAAAAGGUAACAGAGAAAAAACAGUGGUGUAAAGUGCUGUUUCUUUAAAAAGAUCCAAAAAAAAAAAAAAAAAGGAUAAAUAAGAAGACUGACAAAGAUAAAAAGAGAAUUGACACACUUCUAAUAUCAGGAAUCUAACUGGAGAUGUAAGUACAGAUUCUUCCAUCAUAAACAGUAUAUUAAAGGAAUACUUGAAACAAAUAAAAACAUUUAGAUGAAAUGGAACAAUUCCUAAAAAAGGACAACUAUGAAAAUUCAUCCAAUAUGAAAUAGAUAUUCUGAAUAGUUCUAUACAUAUUAAAUAAAAUAAAUACAUAAUUAAAAAGCAUUCAAAAGAAAAAUCUCCAGGCAUACAUGGCUCACUGGAGAAUGCUACCAAACAUUUAUAAAACAAAUGAAAGCAAUUCUAGACACUAUCUUCCACAUUAUAGAACACUCCCAAUACAUACUUGGAGGCCACUAUCACCUAGACACCAAAACCAAUGACAGUACGAAACAAAGAUAAAAGACAAACAAAAAAGAACAAAAGAAAGGAAACUACAUAUCAUUACCACUCAUGAAAUUAGAGGAAGAUUUCCUCAACAACAUGCUAGCAUAUUAAAUACUGUAACACAAUAUAUAAAAGUAAUUAUACUCUACAACCACGUAGGGCUUAUUUCAAGAACACAAAGCUGGUUCCACAUUCAAAACUCAAAUCAAUAUCAACAAGCUACAGAAGAAAAAACACUAUUAAUUGGUAAAGAAGUAGUAUAUGGUAAUAUUCAACACCCAUUCACAAUAACAGAAAAAAACCCAGCAAAUUAGGAAUAUGGGAAACUUACUAAACUUGGUAAGAAAAUUCUAUAAAGAAAAAAAACCUUAUACUAACAUCAUACUUGAUGAAAAAGUGUUUUCCCACUAUCAGAAACCAGACAAGGAUAUUCUUUCUUACUACUACUGAUCAACAUAUUGGAAAUCCUAGCUAGCAGACAAGAAAAGACAAUACUAGGUAUAUAUAUGAUGAUAUAUAUAUGAUGAGGAAAAAAAAGAACUGUCUAUUUGCAGAUGAUAUUUUUAAGUUUUAUAACCCCAAGCAUUCUACCAAAACAAAUAAAUGCCUACAGUUCAGCAAGGUUGCAAGAUACCAUAAUGACAUCCAAAAUUUAAUUACAUUUCUGUAUACUACCAAAACUUAUGUGGAAAUUGAAAGUUCAAAAGUCAAUGCCAUUUAUAAUAAAAGAAAAAACAUUUAGAUGCAAAUCUUAUAAAAUUCAUACAAGACCUAUUAUUGAAAUCUAUAAAACAGUGAUGAAGUAAAUCAAGCAAUAGAGACAUCCUGUGUUCAUAAAUUGAAGAGUUAACACUGUAAAGAUGCCAAUUCUCAACUGAUCUGACAAUUUAACCCAAUUUCUAUAGAAAUUCCAUAGAUUUUCUUCAUAAAAAUAGGCUUCUCCAAAACUUUAUGUGAAGUUCAAAGUAAUACAGAGUGCUAAAUUAGGUUUAAAUUAAAAAAAAAUAAAGAGAGAGAAAUCAUUUUAUAAAGCUGGAGGAUUUACACUUAAUUACAACAAUCAAGGAAACCAAUCGUAAAGGACAAGAAAAAGUCUAAGUAUCAUCUCUUUAAAACCACAUGAAGAUUAAAAAAAAAAAGAGCCUUAAAGAGUCUUAAAUGGUGCAAUAAAAUGGGCUCGCAUUCGUAUGUGUAUUUUUAUGUCCUCAAAUAUAAAGGUGUUUGAUGGGUCCAGCCUUUAUAGUUCUCAACAAAAAUUAAGCUCCUUAAACAGAGACAAUGUUUUAGAACAAAGAAGAUGUUCAUAAAAGUUUCCAAAUCUGCCCUCAAUUGUCUAACUCUCUUGACACUGGACAACAAUGAAUGCAUAUACACAACACAUAAAAGUCUAGGUCCUUUACUGCUAAAACAAAACCCUCCUCCUGCCAAGUAAACUAGAGACUCCAUGACAAAGUGCCAAAGGCUUGGCAAGGAAAUCUGGGGGAAAAAAAAAGUGUUUGUUUGCCGUUCAUUCUAAGUCUCCUUUCUUUAUUUAAAAAAAAAAAAAAAA